Bos taurus (domestic cattle) is the source of this 497-nucleotide long non-coding RNA. NCBI's taxonomy places the organism in Eukaryota, Metazoa, Chordata, Mammalia, Artiodactyla, Bovidae. The record is from Ensembl.
GGGAGCCAGGUCCAUGAGAAAUUCUGCUGUCAUUUCCUUUCACAGCCACUGGCAAAUGAGUGUGAAAUCUGGUGAGCUGAAGAGACAGGCAUGGUGGUAGAGAUUUAACAGCAGAGUUAAGUAGAUGAGACAGAAAUAUGCUUCAGGACUCAAGAGACCUGGAAUACGGAAGACAGAGAACAGAGGCCAGUACACCCAGAAACUGGAAUACUUAGGAACUGUACUCUUUUCAACGAGGGAAGGUUGUUUCAUCAGACAUGGAAGAAGACCGUCAACAGAACAGGAUGUCUUUAUGCCACUUCUUGGCUGAUACCACAGCUCUGCCAAGACCACGAGGAGGCUUUUAUCCAGAUGGGCUCAGAAACCAGGAUCAGGGAACCUGAAUUUCCUCACUGCAGUUGGAAAGACCUCCAAAGAAGGAAGUGCAGACUUGGAAAUAAGACUGACAAAGCCUCCUAAAAGUCUGUAGAGACUUCAAGAGGUAAAACCUCUAGGGG